CCUACGGGAGGCAGCAGUGGGGAAUAUUGCACAAUGGGGGAAACCCUGAUGCAGCGACGCCGCGUGAGUGAAGAAGUAUUUCGGUAUGUAAAGCUCUAUCAGCAGGAACGAGACAAGACGGUACCUGACUAAGAAGCCCCGGCUAACUACGUGACAGCAGCCGCGGUAAUACGUAGGGGGCAAGCGUUAUCCGGAAUCACUGGGUGGAAAGGGAGCGUAGACGGCUGUGCAAGCCUGAAGUGAAAGGCGGGGGCCCAACCCCUGGACUGCUUUGGGAACUGUACGGCUGGAGUGCAGGAGAGGUAAGUGGAAUUCCUAGUGUAGCGGUGAAAUGCGUAGAUAUUAGGAGGAACACCAGUGGCGAAGGCGGCUUACUGGACUGUAACUGACGUUGAGGCUCGAAAGCGUGGGGAGCAAACAGGAUUAGAUACCCUGGUAGUC
RNAcentral lists this ribosomal RNA (441 nucleotides) under uncultured bacterium. Its description in RNAcentral is "partial 16S ribosomal RNA". It matches the Rfam family "Bacterial small subunit ribosomal RNA", at positions 338 to 795 of the family's 1533-position model. The record is from RNAcentral.